GCCAAAGACUAGAAAAUAUGGUGAAGCAUAUCUUCCCUUUGGCUUCACCUGCACAAGUGCCAAGAUAUCUGUUGGUGUGCUCCAGUAUUUUUAUUCAGCAAACCAGCCUAUGAAGUGAAUGAAACAAAUCCUGACUGGGUUCCAACACUACACAUGGGGCACUACGAAAUCCCUGCUUCAAACUACAUGCUACAUACCACCAUGCCAAUCAGAUUACUUCUUCCAUGUGUGGGUAAAAAGGUGACCCUCAUGGAUAAGAUGGCAAAAGUUUGCUGCGUUUUGGUGAACAUGUGCCCCAGUGUGGUAGUAAAACCAGGGAAAAAUGCUCUUGUUAAAUACUCUUAAGUCUUGUGCUGUUUAUGUAGUGAUAAGUUUUCAAAACAGACAGUAAAUUACAGAAUGC
Long non-coding RNA from Oreochromis aureus, 403 nucleotides. NCBI's taxonomy places the organism in Eukaryota, Metazoa, Chordata, Actinopteri, Cichliformes, Cichlidae. The record is from Ensembl.